This 69-nucleotide transfer RNA is filed under the name Marmota monax (woodchuck). RNAcentral's name for it is "tRNA.Val". The record is from RNAcentral. Lineage: Eukaryota; Metazoa; Chordata; Mammalia; Rodentia; Sciuridae.
GGAUGUAGCUCAGUGGUAGAGUACUUGCCUAACAUGUGCAAGGCCCUGGGUUGGAUCCCCAGCAAUGCA